RNAcentral lists this ribosomal RNA (465 nucleotides) under uncultured bacterium. RNAcentral's name for it is "partial 16S ribosomal RNA". It matches the Rfam family "Bacterial small subunit ribosomal RNA", at positions 28 to 507 of the family's 1533-position model. The record is from RNAcentral.
GACGAACGCUGGCGGCGUGCUUAACACAUGCAAGUCGUACGGUAAGGCCCUUUCGGGGGUACACGAGUGGCGAACGGGUGAGUAACACGUGAGUAACCUGCCCACAACUUUGGGAGAACGCUAGGAAACUGGGGGUAAUACUGGAUAUGUGCUCCUGCUGCAUGGGGGGGGUUGGAAAGCUCCGGCGGUGGUGGCGGGAGUCGCGGCCUUUCAGCGUGUUGGUGGGGGAGUGGCCUACCAAGGCGGAGACGGGGAGCCGGGCUGAGAGGGGGACCGGCCACAGUGGGACUGAGAUAAGGCCCCGCCUCCUACGGGAGGCAGCAGGGGGGAAUUUUGCACCAUGGGCGGCAGCCUGAUGCCGCCACGCCGCGGGCGGGAUGACGGCCUUCCGGUUGUAAACCGCUUUCCGCAGGGACGAAGCUUUUUGUGACGGUACCUGCAGAAGAAGCACCGGCUAACUACGUG